This is a long non-coding RNA of Solanum tuberosum (potato), 518 nucleotides long. RefSeq lists it as uncharacterized. The transcript is spliced from 2 exons. NCBI's taxonomy places the organism in Eukaryota, Viridiplantae, Streptophyta, Magnoliopsida, Solanales, Solanaceae. The record is from RefSeq and is a predicted model, not a curated record.
AAAAACAAAAAGACACAAAGACAAAAAUAGAAAGAGCCUCCAUUAAGCAAGUAGAUGAAACAUCACUAUCAACUUCCAGCAACACAGAAGGAAGCAUUGCUGGAAAAUUGGUGGCGAACAGAAAGAGCUGGAGAAUCACGAUUCGUGGGAGGAGAGGAGCCUUUAAUACUUGCAAAUUCUAGGUAAUCUUCAAGAUCUAAGUUUUGGUGGGUGCUGUAAAGUUGGAAGAAAGAAAUGCGUCAGCCAACAUAUUAGCAAGUCGAAUUUGUGCUGCAGUUGUGAGAUGAAUACCAUCAGGAUUCAAUGGUAAUCCGUUUGCGUCAACCUUCACUGCAUUUGGAAGUUCAACAUCUAUUUGAGCUUGUCUAACUAUAUCUACAAACUUUCCUUUAAACCAUGGACUUGGAACAUGUAGGAUUACCUGUAAAAUCACUUCAAUUAGAAUAUCUGACAUAAAUUUUAUUAUAAAAUCAAACACCAAGUAUCAUUAUAAUAAUAUCUUCAUCGAUAUAAUAUAA